UACAGGGGGUGCAAACGUUGCUCGGAAUCAUUGGGCGUAAAGCGCACGUAGGCGGUCUGUUAUGUCGGAUGUGAAAGCCCUCGGCUCAACCGUGGAGGGUCAUUGGAAACUGGGGAACUUGAGUGCAGGAGAGAAGAGUGGAAUUCCACGUGUAGCGGUGAAAUGCGUAGAGAUGUGGAGGAACACCAGUGGCGAAGGCGACUCUUUGGCCUGUAACUGACACUGAGGCGCGAAAGCGUGGGGAGCAAACAGG
This 253-nucleotide ribosomal RNA is filed under the name uncultured bacterium. RNAcentral's name for it is "partial 16S ribosomal RNA". It matches the Rfam family "Bacterial small subunit ribosomal RNA", at positions 524 to 776 of the family's 1533-position model. The record is from RNAcentral.